UGGAGCAUGUGGUUUAAUUCGAAGCAACGCGCAGAACCUUACCAACCCUUGACAUCGCAGGACCGCUCCAGAGAUGGAGUUUUCUCGUAAGAGACCUGUGGACAGGUGCUGCAUGGCUGUCGUCAGCUCGUGUCGUGAGAUGUUCGGUUAAGUCCGGCAACGAGCGCAACCCACACCCUUAGUUGCCAGCAUUCAGUUGGGCACUCUAAGGGAACUGCCCGUGAUAAGCGGGAGGAAGGUGUGGAUGACGUCAAGUCCUCAUGGCCCUUACGGGUUGGGCUACACACGUGCUACAAUGGUGGUGCCAGUGGGUUAAUCCCCAAAAGCCAUCUCAGUUCGGAUUGUCGUCUGCAACUCGACGGCAUGAAGUCGGAAUCGCUAGUAAUCGCGUAACAGCAUGGCG
This 403-nucleotide ribosomal RNA is filed under the name uncultured Alphaproteobacteria bacterium. RNAcentral describes it as "bacterial SSU rRNA". It matches the Rfam family "Bacterial small subunit ribosomal RNA", at positions 933 to 1359 of the family's 1533-position model. Lineage: Bacteria; Pseudomonadati; Pseudomonadota; Alphaproteobacteria. The record is from RNAcentral.